This 497-nucleotide ribosomal RNA is filed under the name uncultured bacterium. RNAcentral describes it as "partial 16S ribosomal RNA". It matches the Rfam family "Bacterial small subunit ribosomal RNA", at positions 28 to 507 of the family's 1533-position model. The record is from RNAcentral.
GAUGAACGCUGGCGGCGUGCCUAAUACAUGCAAGUCGAGCGAACAGACGAGGAGCUUGCUCCUCUGACGUUAGCGGCGGACGGGUGAGUAACACGUGGAUAACCUACCUAUAAGACUGGGAUAACUUCGGGAAACCGGAGCUAAUACCGGAUAAUAUAUUGAACCGCAUGGUUCAAUAGUGAAAGACGGUUUUGCUGUCACUUAUAGAUGGAUCCGCGCCGCAUUAGCUAGUUGGUAAGGUAACGGCUUACCAAGGCAACGAUGCGUAGCCGACCUGAGAGGGUGAUCGGCCACACUGGGACCGAGACACGGUCCAGACUCCUACGGGAGGCAGCAGUAGGGAAUCUUCCGCAAUGGGCGAAAGCCUGACGGAGCAACGCCGCGUGAGUGAUGAAGGUCUUCGGAUCGUAAAACUCUGUUAUUAGGGAAGAACAAAUGUGUAAGUAACUAUGCACGUCUUGACGGUACCUAAUCAGAAAGCCACGGCUAACUACGUG